UACGUAGGGACCAAGCGUUGUUCGGAUUUACUGGGCGUAAAGGGCGCGUAGGCGGCGAAUCAAGUCAGCUGUGAAAUCUCCGAGCUUAACUCGGAACGGUCAGCUGAUACUGUUUUGCUAGAGUGCAGAAAGGGCAACCGGAAUUCUUGGUGUAGCGGUGAAAUGCGUAGAUAUCAAGAGGAACACCUGAGGCGAAGGCGGGUUGCUAGGCUGACACUGACGCUGUAGCGCGAAAGCUAGGGUAGCAAACGGG
This 253-nucleotide ribosomal RNA is filed under the name uncultured bacterium. RNAcentral's name for it is "partial 16S ribosomal RNA". It matches the Rfam family "Bacterial small subunit ribosomal RNA", at positions 524 to 776 of the family's 1533-position model. The record is from RNAcentral.